UCUCAUCCUCAAAUCACUACCUUCUCUCUCCCUCUCUAUCUCCAGUUUUUCAAAAUGACCCAAUCACUCAUCGAUGGUGGUGGCAUAAGUUCUGUGUUCCAUGAUAGUGUUCGAAGAUGUCCGCCGACGUUACCAGCAACGAGGAAGACAAGCCCACCUAUCAGGGCGCACACAUCCAUCUCAAGGUCAAGGGCCAGGUUUGUUCCCCUCAAUUUCUAGAGUUAUCUUCCAAUUCAGUUCAAUUUAUGGCCAUGUCUUCUCCUCUGCUUAUCCACCAUUCACCGUCGUUUCUUCGCAAGCGCGGCUGGUGGCCCUUUUUUCUCUUCAACGCAACUUCUUCUCUGUAGAUCAUCAUCACUCACGCGUUCAUGCGUCAAACCGUGAAUCUAAGCCAUUAUUCCCAUCAUCCCCUCCCUCCGUUUUGUUAUUGUCGAAGCGUGUCAUCUCAGGAUUGUUUCUCAUUCUCAUGCACUGCCGCUGCUCUGAAGACCUAAUUUUGAGAAGCUUAAAGAUGGAAUUCCGUCAAUUUCUCGACAAUCAAUCAGGUUUUUGGGUGGCGCAGGUGUGAGAUUGAUGCCACUUUGAGGAGGUGGGCAACUCAAAUAUGAAGAUAACUUUUCUUAUAAGAUUUACUUGGGAUUAUGAGCUUAUACCACCAAAUAUGGAUGAAGAUCUUAUGAGAAACCCAUGAGCCUCUUCAAUUUACUAUUAUGACGAAGGAACAUGGCUAUCUAUGCUAUCAAGAAGAAGAAACAACAUGAAAAGAGGGUAGAUAAUUUGAACUAGGGAGCAGUGCUGAUUGGUCCCAUAAUUUGAAAUCAUCAUGCUGCUAGAGGGUAGAUAAUCUAAGAUAUUUGUUCAAUUUAAAAAUGAAUGUUGGGAGAGCGAAGUUAGUGAUAACACUUUAAGUUCUAAUGUAUUUGUGAUGUAUCUCAGUGAAUAAGUGAUAAUUGGUGAUUUUGUUUCCUUCUCUGUUAAUGUGAAAUCUGGGUUUGAAAUU
Lotus japonicus is the source of this 1000-nucleotide long non-coding RNA. RefSeq lists it as uncharacterized. Lineage: Eukaryota; Viridiplantae; Streptophyta; Magnoliopsida; Fabales; Fabaceae. The transcript is spliced from 4 exons. The record is from RefSeq and is a predicted model, not a curated record.